UACGGAAGGUGCAAGCGUUGUUCGGAUUGACUGGGCGUAAAGAGCACGUAGGCGGGCUUGUAAGUCGAUUGUGAAAUCCCCGGGCUUAACCUGGGAACUGCAGUCGAUACUGUGAGUCUUGAAUGUUGGAGAGGUUGGUAGAAUUCCAGGUGUAGAAGUGAAAUUCGUAGAGAUCUGGAGGAAUACCGGAGGCGAAGGCGGCCGACUGGCCAAACAUUGACGCUGAGGUGCGAAAGCGUGGGGAGCAAACAGG
RNAcentral lists this ribosomal RNA (253 nucleotides) under uncultured bacterium. Its description in RNAcentral is "partial 16S ribosomal RNA". It matches the Rfam family "Bacterial small subunit ribosomal RNA", at positions 524 to 776 of the family's 1533-position model. The record is from RNAcentral.